RNAcentral lists this ribosomal RNA (582 nucleotides) under Triticum aestivum (bread wheat). RNAcentral's name for it is "partial small subunit ribosomal RNA". Lineage: Eukaryota; Viridiplantae; Streptophyta; Magnoliopsida; Poales; Poaceae. The record is from RNAcentral.
AUGGUGGAGGGCACCGUCCAAGACAUUGCUAACCUGAAGUUCCUCCUCCUGUGCUUCCAACAGAUGUCGGGCCUAACCAUCAACUUCGAUAAGAGCGAAGUGAUGGUUCUCGGGUUCCCCCUAGAGGAAGCACAGUCCAUAGCGGACCGACUUAAUUGUCGGUUGGGUUCUUUCCCCACGACAUACUUGGGGAUCCCCAUUAGUGACUCGCGCCUCACCGUGGUGGACCUCCACCCCACGGUGACCCGUAUGCAACAUCGCGUUGAACCCUGGAAAGGGCGUUGGUUGUCGAAGGCUACUCGUGUGAUCCUUAUCAACUCUUCGCUUGCUAGCCUUCUGUGGUUCCUCAUGAGCUUCUAUAGCCUCCAUGAGACCCUCCAUCAGGAGAUCGCCAAGUACCAAUCCAGAUUCUUCUGGGCUGGGGAGAGGGAUAAGCAGAAGUACCAUAUGGUUAGUUGGCCCAAUAUCUGCAAACCCAAGGACCAGGGAGGUCUUGGGAUCCUAUCCUCCCGCCGCAUGAACAUAGCCCUCUUGACUCAUUGGCUCUGGCGCAUUGCUAAUGGCGAUGGAGGUCUCUGGCUC